AGAGAGAGACAUGCGCGCAUAUCAAUAAGCGGAGGAAAAGAAACUAACUAGGAUUCCCUCAGUAACGGCGAGUGAAGCGGGAAGAGCUCAAAUUUGAAAUCUUAAAGGGUUUCCCUUGACGAAUUGUAGUUUAAAGAAGUGUUUUCUGUUGGAGGUUUUGGUAAAAGUUCUUUGGAAUAGGACAUCAUAGAGGGUGAGAAUCCCGUAUUUGACCAUUAUUUCCAGCUUUGUGAUACACUUUCAAAGAGUCGGAUUGUUUGGGAAUGCAGUCCAAAAUGGGUGGUAAAUUUCAUCUAAAGCUAAAUAUUGGCGAGAGACCGAUAGCGAACAAGUACCGUGAGGGAAAGAUGAAAAGAACUUUGAAAAGAGAGUUAAACAGUACGUGAAAUUGUCAAAAGGGAAGCGUUUGACACCAGUGUUGUUUUCUCGAAAAUCAAUUAAAAAAGGCAGGAUUUUGUGUUGUAUUGACUUUAUCAGCUUUCUGCACUCUUUUCUUGUCUUUUUUAAUGCACUUUUCGUUUAACAAGUCAACAUCAAUUUCUUUUGUUGUAAAAGGGUCAUUGGAAGGUGGCUUUCUUUUCGGAGAAAGUGUUUAUAGCCUUUGGCCUCUGCAAUCGGAGAGAUUGAGGUCUGCAGCGUAGAUCCUUCGGGGUUAGAUACAUUUGUGCUAAGUUAUAGCCUUUCAUAGACAACUUGUUGACUAUGAUCAGUCAUGUAGCUUACUCGCUUAUGCUAUUUUACCUACGCUUAGGAUGUUGAUGUGAUACUGCGAGCA
RNAcentral lists this ribosomal RNA (775 nucleotides) under uncultured Neocallimastigales. Its description in RNAcentral is "partial large subunit ribosomal RNA". It matches the Rfam family "Eukaryotic large subunit ribosomal RNA", at positions 23 to 639 of the family's 3401-position model. Lineage: Eukaryota; Fungi; Neocallimastigomycota; Neocallimastigomycetes; Neocallimastigales. The record is from RNAcentral.